Molecule: long non-coding RNA, 1852 nt
Filed under: Xyrichtys novacula (pearly razorfish)
Lineage: Eukaryota; Metazoa; Chordata; Actinopteri; Labriformes; Labridae
Source: RNAcentral
GUUGUGUUUGAACUUGAGUUUGUGGUGUUUGUUGAACUUGAGUUUGUGUCGUGUUUUAACUUGAGUUUGUGUGAUUGUUGAACUUGAGUUAUUUUUCAUGUUUGAACUUGAGUUUGUGGCGUUUGUUGAACUUGAGUUUGUGUGGUUGUUGAACUUGAGGUUGUUGCAAUUGUUAAACUUGAAAUUUGGUUGUUGGUAUAACUAUGGUUUGUGUCGUGUUUGAACUUGAGUUUGUUUUGUGUUUGAACUUGAGUUUGUGGUUUUUGUUGAACUUGAGUUUGUGGUGUUUUUGAACUUGAGUUUGUGUGUUUUUUGAACUUGAGUUUGUGUUGUGUUUUAACUUGUAUGUGUGGUCUUUGUUGAAAUUGAGUUUGUGUCGUGUUGAACUUGAGUUUGUGGUGUUUUUGAACUUAAGUUGGUGGUGCUUUUGAACUUGAGUUUCGUGUUUGAAUUUGAGUUUGUUGUUUUUGUUGAACUUGAGUUUGUGUCAUGUUUGAACUUGAGUUUGUGGUGUUCUUGAACUUGAUUUUGUGGUUUUUUUGAAGCUGAGGAUGUGGAAUUUUUUCAAAUUGAGGUUGUGGAAAUUGUUAAACUUGAGUUUGUGAGUGUUUUUAACUCUAGCUUUUUCCAUAUUUGAACUUGAUUUUGUGUGAUUGUUGAACUUGAGUUUGAGUUGUGUUUGAACUUGAGUUUGUGGUGUUUGUUGAACUUGAGUUUGUUUUGUUUUUACAAUUGAGUUUGUGGGUUUUUUUAACUUGAGUUUGUGUGGUUGUUGAACUUGAGUUUGUGUUGUGUUUGAACUUGGGUUUGUGGUGUUUGUUGAACUUGAGUUUGUGUCAUGUUUGCACUUGAGUUUGUGGUGUUUUUGAACUUGAUUUUGUAUGUUUGUUGAACUUGAGUUUGUGGUGAUUUUGAAUUUGAGUAGGUGUCAUAUUUGCACUUGAGUUUGUGGUGUUUUUGAACUUGAUUUUGUAUGUUUGUUGAACUUGAGUUUGUGGUGAUUUUGAAUUUGAGUAGGUGUUAUGUUUGAACUUGAGUUUGUGGUGUUUUUGAACUUGAGUUUGUGAUUUUUUUGAAGUUGAGGAUGUGGAAUUUUUAUCAAAUUGAGGUUGUGAAAAUUGUUAAACUUGAGUUUGUGAGUGUUUUUAACUCUAGCUUUUUCUAUAUUUGAACUUGAUUUUGUGUGAUUGUUGAACUUGAUUUUGAGUUGUGUUUGAACUUGAGUUUGUGGUGUUUGUUAAGAUUGAGUUUGUUUUGUUUUUACAAUUGAGUUUGUGUUUUUUUUAACUUGAGUUUGUGUGGUUGUUGAACUUGAGUUUGUGUUGUGUUUGAACUUGAGUUUGUGGUGUUUGUUGAACUUGAGUUUGUGUCAUGUUUGCACUUGAGUUUGUGGUGUUUUUGAACUUGAGUUUUUGGUGUUUUUGAACUUGAGUAUGUGGUGAUUUUGAAUUUGAGUAGGUGUCAUGUUUGAACUUGAGUUUGUGGUGUUUUUGAACUUGAGUUUGUGAUUUUUUUUAGAAGUUGAGGGUGUGGAAUUUUUUGAAUUUGAGGUUGUGGCAAUCGUUAAACUUGAGUUUCUGUUUUAGUUUAACUUGAGUUCAUUUUGUUUGAACUUGAGUUCUUUUGUUUGUUAAACCUAAGUAUGUGUUGUUUUUGAACAUGAGUUUGUUUCAUGUUUGAACUUUAGUUUGUGGCGUUUGUUGAACUUGAGUUUGUGUGAUUGUUGAAAUUGAGGUUGUGGCAAUUGUUAAACUUGAGAUUUGGUUGUUGUUUGAACUUGAGUUUGUGUCGUGAAAUUAAACUUGAGUUUGUUUCGGAUUUGAACUUGAGUUUGUGGUCUUGAACUUAAGUU